This 475-nucleotide ribosomal RNA is filed under the name uncultured Bacteroidota bacterium. RNAcentral describes it as "bacterial SSU rRNA". It matches the Rfam family "Bacterial small subunit ribosomal RNA", at positions 97 to 570 of the family's 1533-position model. Lineage: Bacteria; Pseudomonadati; Bacteroidota. The record is from RNAcentral.
GGCGCACGGGUGCGUAACACGUAUGCAACCUACCCUUUACAGGGGGAUAGCUCAGAGACAUCUGAAUUAAUACCCCAUAGUUACAUUUUGCUGCAUGGUAAGAUGUAUAAAGCUCCGGCGGUAAAGGAUGGGCAUGCGUUACAUUAGCUAGUUGGUGAGGUAAUGGCUCACCAAGGCUACGAUGUAUAGGGGUUCUGAGAGGAUGAUCCCCCACACUGGUACUGAGACACGGACCAGACUCCUACGGGAGGCAGCAGUAGGGAAUAUUGGACAAUGGACGCAAGUCUGAUCCAGCCAUGCCGCGUGCAGGAUGACAGCCCUCUGGGUUGUAAACUGCUUUUAUAUGAGAAGAAGCCCUCAGAUGCGUUUGAGGCUGACGGUAUCAUAUGAAUAAGGAUCGGCUAACUUCGUGCCAGCAGCCGCGGUAAGACGAAGGAUCCAAGCGUUGUCCGGAUUUACUGGGUUUAAAGGAUGC